RNAcentral lists this ribosomal RNA (1650 nucleotides) under Vibrio parahaemolyticus. RNAcentral describes it as "bacterial LSU rRNA". It matches the Rfam family "Bacterial large subunit ribosomal RNA", at positions 1 to 1699 of the family's 2925-position model. Lineage: Bacteria; Pseudomonadati; Pseudomonadota; Gammaproteobacteria; Vibrionales; Vibrionaceae. The record is from RNAcentral.
GUUGUAUGGUUAAGUGACUAAGCGUACACGGUGGAUGCCUUGGCAGUCAGAGGCGAUGAAAGACGUAGUAACUUGCGAUAAGCCCAGAUUAGGUAGUAACAACCAUUUGAGUCUGGGAUUUCUGAAUGGGGAAACCCACGUGCAUAAGCACGUAUCCUUACCUGAAUACAUAGGGUAAGGAGGCGAACCGGGGGAACUGAAACAUCUAAGUACCCCGAGGAAAAGAAAUCAACCGAGAUUCCGAAAGUAGCGGCGAGCGAAAUUGGACUAGCCCUUAAGCUUUACACGCGUUAGACGAACGGUCUGGAAAGUCCGACGAUACAGGGUGAUAGUCCCGUAGUUGACGACGUGUGUUCAGUGAAAUCGAGUAGGGCGGGACACGUGAUAUCCUGUCUGAAUAUGGGGGGACCAUCCUCCAAGGCUAAAUACUACUGACUGACCGAUAGUGAACCAGUACCGUGAGGGAAAGGCGAAAAGAACCCCUGUGAGGGGAGUGAAAUAGAACCUGAAACCGUGUACGUACAAGCAGUAGGAGCAGGCUUUGUCCUGUGACUGCGUACCUUUUGUAUAAUGGGUCAGCGACUUAUAUUCAGUGGCAAGGUUAACCAUCUAGGGGAGCCGUAGGGAAACCGAGUCUUAACUGGGCGUUCAGUCUCUGGAUAUAGACCCGAAACCAGGUGAUCUAGCCAUGGGCAGGUUGAAGGUUGAGUAACAUCAACUGGAGGACCGAACCGACUAAUGUUGAAAAAUUAGCGGAUGACUUGUGGCUAGGGGUGAAAGGCCAAUCAAACCUGGAGAUAGCUGGUUCUCCCCGAAAGCUAUUUAGGUAGCGCCUCGGACGAAUACUACUGGGGGUAGAGCACUGUUAAGGCUAGGGGGUCAUCCCGACUUACCAACCCUUUGCAAACUCCGAAUACCAGUAAGUACUAUCCGGGAGACACACGGCGGGUGCUAACGUCCGUCGUGGAGAGGGAAACAACCCAGACCGCCAGCUAAGGUCCCAAAUUACUACUAAGUGGGAAACGAUGUGGGAAGGCUCAGACAGCCAGGAUGUUGGCUUAGAAGCAGCCAUCAUUUAAAGAAAGCGUAAUAGCUCACUGGUCGAGUCGGCCUGCGCGGAAGAUGUAACGGGGCUAAGUAGUAAACCGAAGCUGCGGCAAUAUACUUUUGUAUAUUGGGUAGGGGAGCGUUCUGUAAGCGGUUGAAGGUGUGUGGUAACGCAUGCUGGACGUAUCAGAAGUGCGAAUGCUGACAUGAGUAACGAUAAAGGGGGUGAAAAACCUCCUCGCCGGAAGACCAAGGGUUCCUGUCCAACGUUAAUCGGGGCAGGGUAAGUCGACCCCUAAGGCGAGGCCGAAAGGCGUAGUCGAUGGGAAACGGGUUAAUAUUCCCGUACUUCUUACAAUUGCGAUGGGGGGACGGAGAAGGCUAGGUGGGCCUGGCGACGGUUGUCCAGGUUCAAGUGCGUAGGCUUAAGAGUUAGGUAAAUCCGGCUCUUUCUAAGGCUGAGACACGACGUCGAGCACCUACGGGUGUGAAGUCAUUGAUGCCAUGCUUCCAGGAAAAGCCUCUAAGCUUCAGAUUGUAAGGAAUCGUACCCCAAACCGACACAGGUGGUCGGGUAGAGAAUACCAAGGCGCUUGAGAGAAC